Molecule: ribosomal RNA, 1022 nt
Filed under: Mortierella alpina
Lineage: Eukaryota; Fungi; Mortierellomycota; Mortierellomycetes; Mortierellales; Mortierellaceae
Description: partial 28S ribosomal RNA
Rfam family: Eukaryotic large subunit ribosomal RNA
Source: RNAcentral
GGAGACUAGCAGGAUUCCCCUAGUAACGGCGAGUGAAGCGGGAUGAGCUCAAAUUUAAAAUCUGGCUGGUUUACUAGUCCGAAUUGUAGUUUAAAGAAGCGUUUUCGGUGGCAGCCUGGGUAUAAAUCCUUUGGAACAGGGUAUCAUAGAGGGUGAGAAUCCCGUCUUUGACUCAGUGCAUGCUACUAUGUGAUACGUUUUCAAAGAGUCGAGUUGUUUGGGAAUGCAGCUCAAAAUGGGUGGUAAAUUUCAUCUAAAGCUAAAUAUUGGCGAGAGACCGAUAGCGAACAAGUACCGUGAGGGAAAGAUGAAAAGAACUUUGAAAAGAGAGUUAAACAGUGCGUGAAAUUGUUGAAAGGGAAACGCUUGACACCAGUCAUGCGAGCGGAAAAUCAGUCUUUUGCAGUGGGGAGUUGUGUGGGUUCGGACCGCAAGGCCGGCCUGCGCUGCAUCUCUGCUGUAAGUGAUGCACUUUUUCGUUUGCAGGCCAACAUCAGUUUCUUCUGCUGGACAAAACUCUUGAGAAGGUGGCAGCUUAGGCUGUGUUAUAGCUCUUGAGCGAUACAGUGGAGGGGACUGAGGUUUUCGCAGCGCGUGCUCUCGGGCAAGGCUGAUUGGGUGCUAUGGGAUCGUUCGGUGUACAAUGCAUGCAUUUUGCGCCGUGUCUUUUCUAUACUCGCUCAACUCGGCUCUUCCGCGCUUAGGAUGUUGGCUUAAUGGUUUUAAUCGACCCGUCUUGAAACACGGACCAAGGAGUCUAACAUAUAUGCAAGUGUUUGGGUGGCAAACCCAUGCGCGUAAUGAAAGUGAACGUAGGUGCGAUCCGCAAGGUGCAGCAUCGACCGAUCUUGAUAUUUUUGGAUAGAUUUGAGUAAGAGCAUAUAUGCUGGGACCCGAAAGAUGGUGAACUAUGCCUGAAUAGGGUGAAGCCAGAGGAAACUCUGGUGGAGGCUCGUAGCGAUUCUGACGUGCAAAUCGAUCGUCAAAUUUGGGUAUAGGGGCGAAAGACUAAUCGAUCCAUU